CCUACGGGUGACAGCAGUGAGGAAUAUUGGUCAAUGGACGAGAGUCUGAACCAGCCAAGUAGCGUGAAGGAUGCCUGCCCUAUGGGUUGUAAACUUCUUUUAUAUGGGAAUAAAAUGUUCCACGUGUGGGAUUUUGUAUGUACCAUAUGAAUAAGGAUCGGCUAACUCCGUGCCAGCAGCCGCGGUAAUACGGAGGAUCCGAGCGUUAUCCGGAUUUAUUGGGUUUAAAGGGAGCGUAGGUGGAUUGUUAAGUCAGUUGUGAAAGUUUGCGGCUCAACCGUAAAAUUGCAGUUGAAACUGGCAGUCUUGAGUACAGGAGAGGUGGGCGGAAUUCGUGGUGUAGCGGUGAAAUGCUUAGAUAUCACGAAGAACUCCGAUUGCGAAGGCAGUUCACUGGACUGCAACUGACACUGAGGCUCGAAAGUGUGGGUAUCAAACAGGAUUAGAUACCCGUGUAGUC
This 460-nucleotide ribosomal RNA is filed under the name uncultured bacterium. RNAcentral describes it as "partial 16S ribosomal RNA". It matches the Rfam family "Bacterial small subunit ribosomal RNA", at positions 338 to 795 of the family's 1533-position model. The record is from RNAcentral.